ACCGGUCCAUCAAAUUCAAAAGAGCAGGUCUCGUGGUCCCUUCAACAACCUGGAUUUUGAUCCCCCAUCCUUUGACCUAGGGUUCGACAGCAUGCCAGCGCCGCCACUGCAUGCAGUCGGGUCAGUCCAGGAACUGCAGCAGGAACACAUGAUUAUUGACGACGAGUGGGAUGAUGAUACAAUUGCACAAGCAUGCGCCAUCGCAGACCAGAUUGAUCGUGAAAGGGGUACCGAAGCAGUUGAUAAGGAUAAGCAAG
Molecule: long non-coding RNA, 257 nt
Filed under: Brachypodium distachyon (stiff brome)
Lineage: Eukaryota; Viridiplantae; Streptophyta; Magnoliopsida; Poales; Poaceae
Description: long non-coding RNA (BDIS_LNC005692)
Source: RNAcentral